Molecule: long non-coding RNA, 548 nt
Organism: Mauremys mutica (yellowpond turtle)
Lineage: Eukaryota; Metazoa; Chordata; Testudines; Geoemydidae
Exons: 5
Source: RefSeq, a predicted model, not a curated record
GUAGACAGACCCUUGGAUCAGUUCAAUCAUGUUGAAGGGUGCCACUCUCCCCAAGGAGUCCCAUUGAAAUCAGCAUGACCACUUGUGCAAUAAGGUGCACCGCCGCAUGAGUAAGGAACGCUAGCGCUCUGCGGACGUGCAGCGUGUGAAGGGAGGCCUCUCUGUUGUCUGCAUGCCAUUUGGGAAAUAAUACAGAACAGUGUGUCUCAAGUCCCGUCAUCCAUGGAUUAGCCAGGCCUUGAAAUGGAGUACUGAGAUGUUGGGGUGACGGAGGCAUCCUGCAUCCUGUGUCAGCAGAUGAGGCACAAGGGGAAGGAUUCGUGGUGAUGUCAACCAGCUGUUUCAGACGUCACAAGAAUUCUAACAAGCAAGUUCACAGACGGCAAAGGAGCAUCACUGAAUUGUACACAUUCACACAGGCUGCUUCCUGAAUGACUGGUGACGUGAGGGUGGAUUCUCUUCAUUCUGCAGAAGGAAUAAUUUGACACACUGCAUGCAAUGAAAUAAGCAACAUGUCAGGGGAAAAAACAAAACUAAACAGUUAUGAA